UGGAAGUAGAAAUCCGCUAAGAAACGUGUUACAACGUACCUACCGAAUGUAUUAUUGUAUAAAAUGGAAGAAGAUUACUACUUUUAUGAGAUGUUUCUGUAUAUAUUUAGGUAGCUGUGCAAUUUGUUUGUAUUGAAGUAUAUAUGUGAGUAUGUAUUGAAGAAACAAAUGAGCCGAUCUUGGAGGCAGUAACAAUAUAUUUGUAUAGAUAUAGACUAGGGUUUUCAAUGACUAUUGAAGUGAAUCGGUGUUAGCAUAAAAACAAAGAAGAUUAAUAGUUCUUCAUUUAAUUACUCUAAGGCGACUUGAUAAUGACGGUAUAUCAUGUUAUCUAAGAAAAAUGAAUUAGAUGAUGACGUAACUAUGGAUUGUCAUGAUAAGAAAUAGUUAUCUGUAUAUACUUGAUAAAAAAGAAGUAAUUUAACCGU
This 428-nucleotide ribosomal RNA is filed under the name Vairimorpha bombi. RNAcentral's name for it is "LSU rRNA". The stretch from base 1 to 183 matches the Rfam family "Eukaryotic large subunit ribosomal RNA", at positions 1255 to 1454 of the family's 3401-position model. The record is from RNAcentral. Lineage: Eukaryota; Fungi; Microsporidia; Nosematidae.